Molecule: ribosomal RNA, 253 nt
Filed under: uncultured bacterium
Lineage: Bacteria
Description: partial 16S ribosomal RNA
Rfam family: Bacterial small subunit ribosomal RNA
Source: RNAcentral
UACGAAGGGGGCGAGCGUUGUUCGGAUUUACUGGGCGUAAAGGGCGCGCAGGCGGCCAUUCAAGUCAGGCGUGAAAGCCCCGGGCUUAACCUGGGAGGUGCGCUUGGGACUGGGUGGCUAGAGAUCGGGAGAGGAGAGUGGAAUUCCCAGUGUAGAGGUGAAAUUCGUAGAUAUUGGGAGGAACACCAGUGGCGAAGGCGACUUCCUGGCCUGUUCUUGACGCUGAGGCGCGAAAGCUAGGGGAGCAAACGGG